GGAGCUGUAGUUCAGAUGGAUAGAACAAUAUGCCAAAAGGAGCUUUGUCAAAAGCUCUUGCAGCAACUUUCCAGUCACCAUAUAGGUCGCAGGUUCGAGGUCUGCCAGCUCCG
This 113-nucleotide transfer RNA is filed under the name Lachnospiraceae bacterium. Its description in RNAcentral is "tRNA-OTHER". The record is from RNAcentral. Lineage: Bacteria; Bacillati; Bacillota; Clostridia; Lachnospirales; Lachnospiraceae.